Molecule: ribosomal RNA, 160 nt
Filed under: uncultured bacterium
Lineage: Bacteria
Description: partial 16S ribosomal RNA
Rfam family: Bacterial small subunit ribosomal RNA
Source: RNAcentral
UGAGUAACCUGCCCUUCACUCUGGGAUAACUCCGGGAAACCGGGGCUAAUACUGGAUACGACCUACUCGGGCAUCCGAUGUGGGUGGAAAGAUUUAUCGGUGAGGGAUGGACUCGCGGCCUAUCAGCUUGUUGGUGAGGUAAUGGCCNCACGAGCGACGG